GGUGCUUUGGGGGAGGACUGCCAUGUCGAAAGCAUAGGGGUUCUCGGUCCUCAAAGGUGAUCUGUUGCGCAGGUCAUUCUCCAGUUCGCUAUGUUGAAGGUCUUGACACAGUGAGAGAUGCUCUGCAGCCACCUGAACACUUCAUGUUGCCGCCAUCCUCUUGUUGCUGGGAGAGAGCAUCCAACCAGAAGCUGCUCAUAGGAAGAAAUUCCAGGGGACGUUUCAUCAUGGUGGGGAAAACGUGACAGGCUGACUGAGUACCACAUCUUGUCACCUAUCAGCAGCAGCAAGAGGGAGGUAGUUUUGGCAAGGGGGCCUGGGGCUAUGACACCCCAAGACCUGCCUCAAGUGACACACCUCCUUUAGCAAGGUUCUGCCUCCCCCCAAAAUGUCACCAGCUGAGGAAAAAGCAAAACA
Molecule: long non-coding RNA, 417 nt
Organism: Jaculus jaculus (lesser Egyptian jerboa)
Lineage: Eukaryota; Metazoa; Chordata; Mammalia; Rodentia; Dipodidae
Exons: 3
Source: RefSeq, a predicted model, not a curated record